CACUGAUAGUAAACAAAUGCUCUGCGUUCCUAAGAAGGAGAAAAGGCUGUGACAAAAAGAGGUUAGACAAGUCCUUGGGAGGUGGCCUGCUUCCUUAUCCAGCCUUGAAGGUUCUUCACCUUAAACAGAAAAGAAGAGAAAGAGAAAAGAAAAGGAAAGAAAAGAGAUGGAAUUAAAGACUGGAUCAGAGCUGUCACCGCUUUGGGCACAACUUGGUUUGGCAGUGGGAGGUUGUUACUCCAAGUCUUAGGUAGAAGAGGGAUCAGAAGUGAGAGUGCCAGAAGAAGUGUUGUGAAAUGCUGUCCUCCCAGUGUGAUGUCUGGUGUUGUACUCUUGAACUCUCGGCAGCUGUGAUUACCUGCACAAGACCUGCACAAGAUUGGACUGUCUGUCAUGGAGGGGGGUAGGCAUCAUGAGGCCUUGCUGGUAAAUUGCUCUGUAAACAACUCUAAAUUAAACUCAGGGAGUCACAGCAGACAAAAGCAAAACAAAAACCUGCCUGAAAGUGGAAGAGGAACCAGAUGGGAAGAG
Long non-coding RNA from Mastomys coucha (southern multimammate mouse), 531 nucleotides. RefSeq lists it as uncharacterized. The transcript is spliced from 3 exons. The record is from RefSeq and is a predicted model, not a curated record. Lineage: Eukaryota; Metazoa; Chordata; Mammalia; Rodentia; Muridae.